UACGAGGGAUGCAAGCGUUAUCCGGAAUUAUUGGGCGUAAAGCGUUUGUAGGCGGGCGAGUGUGUUUAAUGUUAAAUCUUAAAGCUCAACUUUGAAAUUGCGUUAAAAACUGCUUGUCUUGAGUAUGGUAGGGGUAAAGGGAAUUCCCAGUGUAGCGGUGAAAUGCGUAGAUAUUGGGAAGAACACUAAACAGCGAAGGCACUUUACUAGGCUAAUACUGACGCUGAGAAACGAAAGGUAAGGUAGCGAAACGGAUUAGAUGCCCGUGUAGUCUUACCCGUAAACUAUGGACACUAAACGGUAAAUUUUUAAUUUACUGUUAAAGCUAACGCGUUAAGUGUCCCGCCUGGGGAGUAUGCUUGCAAAAGUGAAACUCAAAGGAAUUGACGGGGGCCCGCACAAGCGGUGGAGCAUGUGGUUUAAUUCGACGGUACACGAAGAACCUUACCAGGAUUUGACAUGCUAGAUAGUUGCUUGAAAGAGUAACGUGCCGUAAGGAAUCUAGACACAGGUGGUGCAUGGCUGUCGUCAGUUCGUGUUGUGAAAUGUUGGGUUAAGUCCCGCAACGAACGCAACCCUUGUCUUUAGUUAUUUUCUAAAGAGACUGCCUGUAAUAAACAGGAGGAAGGUAAGGAUGAGGUCAAGUCAUCAUGCCCCUUAUGUCCUGGGCUACACACGUGCUACAAUGGGAAAGACAAUGAGCUGCAAAUCUGUAAAUUUAAGCAAAUCUCUUAAACUUUCUCGUAGUUCGGAUUGUGGGCUGCAACUCGCCCACAUGAAGUUGGAAUCGCUAGUAAUCGCCAGUCAGCUAUAUGGCGGUGAAUCCGUUCCCGGGCCU
This 838-nucleotide ribosomal RNA is filed under the name uncultured bacterium. Its description in RNAcentral is "bacterial SSU rRNA". It matches the Rfam family "Bacterial small subunit ribosomal RNA", at positions 524 to 1381 of the family's 1533-position model. The record is from RNAcentral.